Molecule: ribosomal RNA, 292 nt
Filed under: uncultured eukaryote
Lineage: Eukaryota
Description: partial 18S ribosomal RNA
Rfam family: Eukaryotic small subunit ribosomal RNA
Source: RNAcentral
GGUUGAUCCUGCCAGUAGUCAUAUGCUUGUCUCAAAGAUUAAGCCAUGCAUGUCUCAGUACAUACCGCCCUAAGGUGAAACCGCGAAGUGCUCAUUAAAUCAGUUACAGUUUACUGGAUAAUACUCCUUACAUGGACAACUGUGGUAAUUCUAGAGCUAAUACAUGAAUGAAACCUCCGAGCCUCACGGCAAGGAGUACAUUUAUUAGACCAAGACCAAUGGCCCUCAAAAGCCUCAAUCCUGGUGACUCUGAAUAACUGCGUUAAUCGCAUGGCCCACGAGCCGGCGAUAU